UUUUUAUCACAAUUGCUCUGUAGUAAAGCUUUAGGUCAGGCAUGGUGAUUCCACCAGAGGUUCUUUUAUCCUUGAGAAGAGUUUUUGCUAUCCUCGGUUUUUUGUUAUUCCAGAUGAAUUUGCAAAUUGCUCCUUCUAAUUCGUUGAAGAAUUGAGUUGGAAUUUUAAUGGGGAUUGCAUUGAAUCUGUAGAUUGCUUUUGGCAAGAUAGCCAUUUUUACAAUGUUGGUCCUGCCAAUCCAUGAGCAUGGGAGAUCUUUCCAUCUUCUGAGAUCUUCUUUAAUUUCUUUCUUCAGGGACUUGAAGUUUUUAUCAUACAGAUCUUUCACUUCCUUCGUUAGAGUCACGCCGAGAUAUUUUAUAUUAUUUGUGGCUAUUGAGAAGGGUGUUGUUUCCCUAAUUUCUUUCUCAGCCUGUUUAUUCUUUGUGUAGAGAAAGGCCAUUGACUUGUUUGAGUUAAUUUUAUAUCCAGCUACUUCACCGAAGCUGUUUAUCAGGUUUAGGAGUUCUCUGUUGGAAUUUUUAGGGUCACUUAUAUAUACUAUCAUAUCAUCUGCAAAAAGUGAUAUUUUGACUUCCUCUUUUCCAAUUUGUAUCCCCUUGAUCUCCUUUUGUUGUCGAAUUGCUCUGGCUAAUACUUCAAGUACUAUGUUGAAAAGGUAGGGAGAAAGUGGGCAGCCUUGUCUAGUCCCUGAUUUUAGUGGGAUUGCUUCCAGCUUCUCUCCAUUUACUUUGAUGUUGGCUACUGGUUUGCUGUAGAUUGCUUUUAUCAUGUUUAGGUAUUGGCCUUGAAUUCCUGAUCUUUCCAGAACUUUUAUCAUGAAUGGGUGUUGGAUCUUGUCAAAUGCUUUUUCUGCAUCUAACGAGAUGAUCAUGUGGUUUUUGUCUUUGAGUUUGUUUAUAUAAUGGAUUACAUUGAUGGAUUUUCGUAUAUUAAACCAUCCCUGCAUCCCUGGAAUAAAACCUACUUGGUCAGGAUGGAUGAUUGCUUUAAUGUGUUCUUGGAUUCGGUUAGCGAGAAUUUUAUUAAGGAUUUUUGCAUCGAUGUUCAUAAGAGAAAUUGGUCUGAAGUUCUCUAUCUUUGUUGGAUCUUUCUGUGGUUUAGGUAUCAGAGUAAUAGUGGCUUCAUAAAAUGAGUUGGGUAGAAUACCUUCUACUUCUAUCUUGUGAAAAAGUUUGUGCAGAACUGGAGUUAGAUCUUCUUUGAAGGUCUGAUAGAACUCUGCACUAAACCCGUCUGGUCCUGGGCUUUUUUUGGCUGGGAGACUAUUAAUAACUGCUUCUAUUUCUUUAGGGGAUAUGGGACUGUUUAGAAGGUCAACUUGAUCCUGAUUCAACUUUGGUACCUGGUAUCUGUCCAGAAAUUUGUCCAUUUCGUCCAGGUUUUCCAGUUUUGUUGAGUAUAGCCUUUUGUAGAAGGAUCUGAUGGUGUUUUGGAUUUCUUCAGGAUCUGUUGUUAUGUCUCCCUUUUCAUUUCUGAUUUUGUUAAUUAGGAUUUUGUCCCUGUGUCCUUUAGUGAGUCUAGCUAAGGGUUUAUCUAUCUUGUUGAUUUUCUCAAAGAACCAACUCCUCGUUUGGUUAAUUCUUUGAAUAGUUCUUCUUGUUUCCACUUGGUUGAUUUCACCCCUGAGUUUGAUUAUUUCCUGCCGUCUACUCCUCUUGGGUGAAUUUGCUUCCUUUUUUUCUAGAGCUUUUAGAUGUGUUGUCAAGCUGCUAGUAUGUGCUCUCUCCCGUUUUUUCUUGAAGGCACUCAUAGCUAUGAGUUUCCCUCUUAUAAAUGCUUUCAUUGUGUCCCAAAGGUUUGGGUACGUUGUGGCUUCAUUUUCAUUAAACUCUAAAAAGUCUUUAAUUUCUACAAAGACUCAAAACAAUUUUUAGUCAAUAAAAUUAUUCUGAGAGAAUACAGCUAAAAUUACUUUCUAAAGAAACCAAGAUUUACUAAUACCUUUUAUUUUUAUUUAAAUUUACAAUAAAGCUGGAUUAAACUAGAUUUUCUAUCUUGCUAAAAUGACAAGUAAUUGUAGUUCCUGCCUAGAUAAAGACUCUUUUUUAUGCCAUAAAAAUCGUAAGUUUAGAUAUUCUUUUAAAGAGUAGUGGAGAGACAAGACUAUAUUGCCUUUAUAUAUCAAGGGAUUAGACAGUAUUUUAUGUUGUCUAAUUCAUUAUUUUCUUAGCCAAUGGACAAUUUAACCUUCUUCAGCAAGUGCGUUUCAUUUUGAUUACACAUUUUUCUGAAUGUUUGUGUUUUUAUGUAUGUAUAUAUGCAUAAUCGUAUGAAUGUGUACGAGUGCAGGCACAUAUCAGCAUAUGUGAAUGAGGGUUGGGGCAUUGUCCUGAGCAUCAGCUCAGCCUUUCCCUUUGUUUGAAACAUAUGUUUUAUUGCUAUUGAUUAAUGCAUACAUUAGGUUAGCUAGCCUCAAUACUCUUAGGAUUCUCCUGUGCCUAGCUCUCAUUUCCCUGUAAACAUCUGGACUAAAAGGUAUGUGGUACUGUGCCAUGACUUCACCAGUUCUAGGUAGCUGGCUAGACUUCCAGUACCAGGUGGCUUCUCUCUUGUUAAUCAGUGGAUAAUAAGUACAGGUGAGGAGUUGCUGGUUACUGCCAAGGUAUGCAUGCCACUAUUGCAACACUAGAGUUAUUGUGCCUGUCACUGUUGUAGUUUAUAGACAUCACAGCUGGGUAGGAGGAUUGGUUGCAUCCCUCCUUUGUAAGCUUGCAUGGUGCCUUCUGGUACUAUAAAUGAGGUUUUCUCAAGGAAGUGAUGUUCAAGUUAGUUCCAGCUUCAGGGCCUGUGUGCAUUAUGUGUAAAGUGGAUGGUGCCCUCACUCAAAAUCUUAAAUAAAUGUUUACAAUAGUUUUAGUC
This 2862-nucleotide long non-coding RNA is filed under the name Mus musculus (house mouse). Its description in RNAcentral is "long non-coding RNA chr8:54794832-54797694". The record is from RNAcentral. Lineage: Eukaryota; Metazoa; Chordata; Mammalia; Rodentia; Muridae.